This 253-nucleotide ribosomal RNA is filed under the name uncultured bacterium. RNAcentral's name for it is "partial 16S ribosomal RNA". It matches the Rfam family "Bacterial small subunit ribosomal RNA", at positions 524 to 776 of the family's 1533-position model. The record is from RNAcentral.
UACGUAGGGAGCUAGCGUUGUUCGGAAUUACUGGGCGUAAAGCGCGCGUAGGCGGCUUUGUAAGUUAGAGGUGAAAGCCCGGAGCUCAACUCCGGAACUGCCUUUAAAACUGCAUCGCUUGAAUCCAGGAGAGGUGAGUGGAAUUCCGGGUGUAGCGGUGGAAUGCGUAGAGAUCCGGAAGAACACCGGAGGCGAAGGCGGCUUGCUGGGCGUGAUCUGACGCUGAGGCGCGAAAGCGUGGGGAGCGAACAGG